RNAcentral lists this transfer RNA (72 nucleotides) under Capra hircus (goat). It matches the Rfam family "tRNA". Rfam says of the family: Transfer RNA (tRNA) molecules are approximately 80 nucleotides in length. Their secondary structure includes four short double-helical elements and three loops (D, anti-codon, and T loops). RNAcentral also lists the same sequence under 2 other names. Lineage: Eukaryota; Metazoa; Chordata; Mammalia; Artiodactyla; Bovidae. The record is from Rfam by way of RNAcentral.
UCCCUGGUGGCUCAGAGGUUAAAGUGUCUGCCUCCAAUGCAGGAGACCCAGGUUCGAUCCCUGGGUCGGGAA